Molecule: unclassified non-coding RNA, 352 nt
Filed under: soil metagenome
Description: partial contains 5.8S ribosomal RNA, internal transcribed spacer 2, and large subunit ribosomal RNA
Rfam family: 5.8S ribosomal RNA (bases 1-120)
Source: RNAcentral
GAUGAAGAACGUAGCGAAAUGCGAUAAGUAAUGUGAAUUGCAGAAUUCAGUGAAUCAUCGAAUCUUUGAACGCACAUUGCGCCCGCCAGUAUUCUGGCGGGCAUGCCUGUUCGAGCGUCAUUACAACCCUCAGGCCCCCGGGCCUGGCGUUUGGGAUCGGCGGAAGCCCCCUGUGGGCACACGCCGUCCCUCAAAUACAGUGGCGGUCCCGCCGCAGCUUCCAUUGCGUAGUAGCUAACACCUCGCAACUGGAGAGCGGCGCGGCCAUGCCGUAAAACACCCAACUUCUGAAUGUUGACCUCGAAUCAGGUAGGAAUACCCGCUGAACUUAAGCAUAUCAAUAAGCGGAGGA